RNAcentral lists this ribosomal RNA (427 nucleotides) under uncultured bacterium. Its description in RNAcentral is "partial 16S ribosomal RNA". It matches the Rfam family "Bacterial small subunit ribosomal RNA", at positions 355 to 774 of the family's 1533-position model. The record is from RNAcentral.
UGGGGAAUAUUGGACAAUGGGCGAAAGCCUGAUCCAGCCAUGCCGCGUGUGUGAAGAAGGUCUUCGGAUUGUAAAGCACUUUAAGUUGGGAGGAAGGGCAUUAACCUAAUACGUUAGUGUUUUGACGUUACCGACAGAAUAAGCACCGGCUAACUCUGUGCCAGCAGCCGCGGUAAUACAGCGGGUGCAAGCGUUAAUCGGAAUUACUGGGCGUAAAGCGCGCGUAGGUGGUUUGUUAAGUUGGAUGUGAAAUCCCCGGGCUCAACCUGGGAACUGCAUUCAAAACUGACUGACUAGAGUAUGGUAGAGGGUGGUGGAAUUUCCUGUGUAGCGGUGAAAUGCGUAGAUAUAGGAAGGAACACCAGUGGCGAAGGCGACCACCUGGACUAAUACUGACACUGAGGUGCGAAAGCGUGGGGAGCAAACA